Long non-coding RNA from Solanum verrucosum, 213 nucleotides. RefSeq lists it as uncharacterized. NCBI's taxonomy places the organism in Eukaryota, Viridiplantae, Streptophyta, Magnoliopsida, Solanales, Solanaceae. The transcript is spliced from 3 exons. The record is from RefSeq and is a predicted model, not a curated record.
AAGGUGUAAUUUAAGACAAGUUAAGGAGGACAACCUUUACCUUGAAGAAUCCAAGUCUUAACAAGUGGUUGUUCUGUCCAGCAAGAUCAGUAAUCUGAAGAGAAGGAGCUUAAGUCAUACUUUUUGAAUUGUAUAGCAAGGUACAAGUACUCAACUAGUAGAUCUCCCUAAUAGAAGCACAUGAUACUCAGUGGUUGUUGGUGAGCUCCAGGU